AAUCAUCUAUUAGUGAUGUUCUCUGAGCGACAUGAAUAUUUCACUGUUGACGUGCUGCAAUAUUUACUGAAAUGUUCAAAAUCUUGUGGUAAGUUCAGUUCAUCCCACGUCCAUCAAAUGGUUUCAAACUUUCGGUUUCAGAGCUUCUAAAUAAAAGAGAGCUUCUUCCAGAGCGGCCAUUUUGGUUUAAAUAUAAGGAAGAUGCAGAGAAAAUAACAAACGCAGCUCAUCCACCCACAGAAAGAGGAAACGAACCAGAAAUCAUUGCAGCUGCAACACAAUAAGAGGUCAGAGGCCGCAGCCACAAACUCGCUUCAGGAACAGAUGAGCUGGAUAACUCUGUUACAAAACCUACAACUCACAUCCGGGAUGAUGAAGACACAGAAGAGGAUGUGAANNNNNNNNNNNNNNNNNNNNNNNNNNNNNNNNNNNNNNNNNNNNNNNNNNNNNNNNNNNNNNNNNNNNNNNNNNNNNNNNNNNNNNNNNNNNNNNNNNNNUGAUUCCCCAAUCCCGACCAAAAGAAUUGACCUCAAACUGUCUCAUAUGAACCUGAACAAAGACUCAGACCUGAGACUGUCUGGAUCCAGAAGAAGUGACUUUCCUUCACUGUUGAAGUGUUUUAUCGCGCUUCUCUGAUCUUAUGUUUGUGCAAAUCUCACAUCUAUAUUCAUCCAGUAAAUGUUUUGAUGAACUGAACUGACUGUAGUUAAUGUGUUGUGUCACAUCUCCUCCAGCUGAAGUACAAGCAGAGCUCAAAGAAAGACUCGUCCAGUUUGUUCCACCUGAUGCCAGAAACCAUCGACACCCAGUUUGCCCGACAGCAGACGGAGAUGCUCAGCGAGGUCAAGUACAAAGAAGACGGUAAGAAAGAGAUGAGCGUCAACCUGUUCUCUCUGGUGCCGGACACCAUCGACCAGCAGCAUGCUAAAGAGCUGAGAGACCUGCAGAGUGAGACUAAAUACAAAGAGGCCAGUAAGAAGCAGACGUCAACGCCUCUGUAUCACCGACUGCCUGAAACUCUGGAGACACAACACGCUAAAGAGGCUUCACAGCUACAGAGUCAGGUACGUACAGACGUCAUGGGACAGACACAGAAAUCUGUCUUCAUCACAGAGUCCAGUCUCAUACUGAUGCUGUCUCCUCUGUAUGUUGCAGAUCUUGUAUAAAGAGGCUGGUAAGAAGGAGAUGUCGCGUCCAGUUUACCACCAGCUGCCCGACACUCUGGAGAACCAGUUUGCUCGAGAGCUCAGCGGCAUGCAGAGCCAAGUAAGAGCACCAAAACUCUACAUGCAGGUGUGGCAUCUGCACCUGUGCCCGGCUGUAAAUCGCCUCUGUACUUUGUCUUCACACUGACCUCUGUCUCCUCACUGGGAGGCUGUUGGAUCCAGUUGAGCUGAGCGCUGACCCACUCUCCUGGCGCUGCUGCUGGGGGCUUGGCUCCACGCUAUCCGCACCAUAAGCUAAUUAGCUGAUGGUGGCUAGCUACAGCCAAGUAUAGCUAGCAAAGAGUCUGGUUGAUGUGCUGCCAUCUUUAUUUUUGGAGCUACCUUUAAAUUCUGACAUCAGCACAUUAUGGCAGUGUAAUGUAACAGCACCAAAGCUUUCAGCCGCAUCUCGUGGCCUCCGUCAGUCGAUGGAGUUUUCUCAGGAUGACAGAAGAUGUCUGCUAAGCUUCUGCUAAAUUUUGCAGCACUGACCUUUAUGUAACCUGAAAUGAAUCAUAAGUGGGUAACACAGUGUUUAGUUAAGUGAUGCGAGGUCAAACUCAAAUCUUAAAACUCCCAACAGUGAAAUGACGAGCGACUUUAAAGCCGCACCAUGUAGAAAUUGGUAUUUUGUGUGCUUUGGUGCUUACAAAUAUCAGCUCUGUAACAGUUUGUCAGAUGUAAUGAAGGUGCUAACUACAAACAAAACUCAGUACGUCAUAACAAUGUACCCUCUGAUUGAAGUCACGUACUGUCAACGUGACUUUGAAGAUAGUUGAAGGUAAAAAAGUUACAUAAUGUUGCUUCAUCUGUCUCAGUUGUGAGUCGCUGGCAGACAUUUCUCUUUCUGCCGCUCAUCUCUGCGAUGACGUCUGUGUUGAGUUAUGAAUGAAUGAAUCUAUAAUGAAUGAGUGACUUUCCUUCUCUUCUGUGUCGUCCAUCUGUUUCUGUGCAGCUCUCACUUCUUCUCUCAGCGGUAGCUAUUAUUAAUUUUGGCCCCAAACUCCGUAAACCACUCGAGCUGUUUAUUGUUAAAUCACGUUAUUACUAAUUAUAAUCGGCCUCUUUUUGUUUUUUUUAUUCUCUGCUCGCAGAACAAGUACAAGGAGGACGGGAUGAAGAGCCUCUCUCAGAGCUUCUACUCUCAGCUGCCAGAAACUGCUGAGACUCAGUUUGCUAAAAGUGUUUCUGAGCUGCAGAGCGAGGUGAGAUGAAACAAAGAGAGGAGAGAGAUGAUAAAUCCAUGAAUAUAUGCCUGUUAAUAAAUGAGACACACUCAGAACGUAACGACAAGAAAGAUUAAAGCUCCAUCAGGUAGACCAAACAGUCAAAACGAUAUUUAUGAGAAGAUUUGAAUAAUAUUUUGGUUGUGUUUCAUCUGUUGUGACUGAAAAUACAUCCAGUUAAGCAGAAAAGGAUAAAUUCUGGCCAUUGAGUGAAAUCUAAAGACUUUUUAAGUGCUUUUUAAUUAAAAACACAAAAUAAGGCGGAAUCUAAACGGGGAGAAUGUAUCAUUUAUAUCCUCUGGAGUUUAAGAAAGAUGGAUGAAUGUUUUUCACACUUUGUUUGCCUGAAAAACAUUUAUUACCUGUCUGAUCUUCUGAGAGUUAAUCCAGAAGUUCUCUAUGCCAUUUGUGAAUGUAUGAUGCCGUAUCUUGAGAUACAAAGAUAAUAAUCGAAUUAGAUUGAGGACAAGGCGUUCACGUGGUUGGGACUUGGUGC
Molecule: long non-coding RNA, 2927 nt
Filed under: Sparus aurata (gilthead seabream)
Lineage: Eukaryota; Metazoa; Chordata; Actinopteri; Spariformes; Sparidae
Description: lncRNA (ENSSAUG00010020113.1)
Source: RNAcentral